AUUUGGAGAGGAUGCUUCUGGUGCGGCGCCGUCCGAGUUCCUUGGAACAGGACGCCAUAGAGGGUGAGAGCCCCGUACGGACGGACGCCUAACCUAUACGAAGCUCCUUCGACGAGUCGAGUAGUUUGGGAAUGCUGCUCAAAAUGGGAGGUAAAUUUCUUCUAAAGCUAAAUACCGGCCAGAGACCGAUAGCGCACAAGUAGAGUGAUCGAAAGAUGAAAAGCACUUUGAAAAGAGGGUUAAAAAGUACGUGAAAUUGUUGAAAGGGAAGCGCCUGUGACCAGACUUGCGCCCCGCGGACCAUCCGGCGUUCUCGCCGGUGCACUCCGCGGGGUGCAGGCCAGCAUCGGUUUUCCUAGGGGGAUAAAGGUCGCGGGAACGUAGCUCUUUCGGGAGUGUUAUAGCCCGUGGCGGCAUGCCCCUGGGGAGACCGAGGACCGCGCUUCGGCAAGGAUGCUGGCGUAAUGGUCACCAGCGACCCGUCUUGAAACACGGACCAAGGAGUCAAGCAUUGGGGCGAGUGUAUGGGUGUUAAACCCGCACGCGAAAUGAAAGUAAACGCAGGUGAGAGCUUCGGCGCAUCAUCGACCGAUCCUGAUGUCUUCGGAUGGAUUUGAGUAAGAGCCUUACCGCUUGGACCCGAAAGAUGGUGAACUAUGCCUGAAUAGGGUGAAGCCAGAGGAAACU
RNAcentral lists this ribosomal RNA (687 nucleotides) under Sporothrix thermara. RNAcentral describes it as "LSU rRNA". It matches the Rfam family "Eukaryotic large subunit ribosomal RNA", at positions 148 to 863 of the family's 3401-position model. Lineage: Eukaryota; Fungi; Ascomycota; Sordariomycetes; Ophiostomatales; Ophiostomataceae. The record is from RNAcentral.